AUUCGCUCACAACCCAUUGACGAGCAGUAUCACACAACACGAGCGGCGCAGUCCACUCCAUACAAUGAACAAGACCCAUUGCAUAAACAAAUAAAC
RNAcentral lists this non-coding RNA (96 nucleotides) under Tetraselmis chui. Lineage: Eukaryota; Viridiplantae; Chlorophyta; Chlorodendrophyceae; Chlorodendrales; Chlorodendraceae. The record is from RNAcentral.